GAGGAAUCUUGCGCAAUGGGGGCAACCCUGACGCAGCAACGCCGCGUGAGUGAUGAAGGCCUUCGGGUCGUAAAGCUCUGUCAGGUGGGAAGAAACUCCCCAUGGUAAAUAAUCAUGGGGAUUGACGGUACCGCCAGAGGAAGCACCGGCUAACUCCGUGCCAGCAGCCGCGGUAAUACGGAGGGUGCAAGCGUUGUUCGGAAUUAUUGGGCGUAAAGAGCGUGUAGGCGGUUAGGUAAGUCAGAUGUGAAAGCCCUUGGCUUAACCAAGGAAGUGCAUUUGAAACUACUUAGCUUGAGUACGGGAGGGGGAAGCGGAAUUCCCGGUGUAGAGGUGAAAUUCGUAGAUAUCGGGAGGAACACCGGUGGCGAAGGCGGCUUCCUGGACCGAUACUGACGCUGAGACGCGAAAGCGUGGGGAGCAAAC
RNAcentral lists this ribosomal RNA (426 nucleotides) under uncultured bacterium. RNAcentral's name for it is "bacterial SSU rRNA". It matches the Rfam family "Bacterial small subunit ribosomal RNA", at positions 356 to 773 of the family's 1533-position model. The record is from RNAcentral.